AUUUCGUUUGAUUUGCUUUGUCCUCGUGCUCUGCACAUGAUGGUAACUUGAAUUUUGCCUGGACAAGUGCCUUUCUCACUUGAGGACCCGGAUUAUGAGGGCCUUGAGCUAGAUAUGAUGAUGCAAGAAGCAUGAAAGUCAUCGGAGAGGCUUGUAGCAUUUGAAGGAAUAAUGACCGGAAGAAGGUUCUGUCAUAUAUGCCCUACCGAAGGUCAGAAUUGUGGGUUUGUUCAGUGGGUUGAUGAGCAGUGGCCCCCAACAAUGGAGAAUGCAUUGCUGAAGCUUUGGUCAAUGGUUGAAGAGAGCAAGUCUGCUAGGGUGAAUGAUAAUCUUGAAAGUGCUUUAACUAUUCACCAUAUGACAGAAGAAAAGAACAAGCUGGAUGCAAACUAUGACAAGUUAGUGAAAGAUGUGCAUCAACUUAUGGAUAUGCAGGAGGAUAGGGUUGUGGAUUUUAGUUAUCUGCAGUCCAACAUCACAUAUCAGCACCAAUGCAGAGUUGAAUUGGUGGCUGGUAUGAAGGCAGAAAUGGCAAAGAAAGAUGCAGUUACAGAGAAACUUCAAUAG
This 567-nucleotide ribosomal RNA is filed under the name Triticum aestivum (bread wheat). RNAcentral's name for it is "partial small subunit ribosomal RNA". Lineage: Eukaryota; Viridiplantae; Streptophyta; Magnoliopsida; Poales; Poaceae. The record is from RNAcentral.